Salvia hispanica is the source of this 1431-nucleotide non-coding RNA. Lineage: Eukaryota; Viridiplantae; Streptophyta; Magnoliopsida; Lamiales; Lamiaceae. The record is from RefSeq and is a predicted model, not a curated record.
GUGUUAUUGAAAUUUAUUCAAAAGAAGAAAGGUUGGAGGUAUACCUUACAAUAUAGGAGAACUACCUUUCAUGAAAAAGAUUACAUGGAUAUCGGUGCUGGAACAAGUAGAGAAGAUAUAUCUACUUUACAAAAGAAAUUUCCUAAGAAAGCUAAAUGAAGUAAAGAAACAAAAGUAGGGAUUUGCUAAAUCUUCAUUGAGGAUCCUCUCUACACACAUCUCGAUUCUUGAUCCCCACUCCAUGCCAAGAGGUCAAUUAGUAGUCUCUUCGAGAUAGCAUGAGUUGUCUCUUAACCUGCCAAGGAAAUUCCCAAAAUAGUUAGAUUCCUUCUUCAACAAAAACCAAUGAAAAAUGGUAUUCAAGAAAAUGGUAAGGAGCCAUUUAAAGAUUUGCAAGAGUGUUUGCAAGGAGACAAUGAAUAAGAUAUCUCAAAUCUUCCCAAAGUGGAUGUAAUGACAAUUGGAUAAAGAAUGAUGAGUCAUCCCCUUAAUCUAAAGAGUGAAAAGUCCUUUUCUACCACAUGGUCAAUUAAGAAACUUGAUCACCAAGUAUAACACCUCCCAAGACUUUCACCAACAAGGUAAGGAAGCCUUUAUCAAGAUUCAAAAAGAGAGAUGAACAAUUAGCUCAAAAGAGAAUUUGGUAUCUUCCCCAGCAAGUCAAAAGAGUUGGCUAUAUAAAGAGCCAUACCACACCUCUUGCUUCACCUUUUUACCACUUAGAAACUUCUCUGGAAAGAGUAGCAAGGAAUGAGAGGAGAGGGAGGAAGCUCUUGAGCUGCCCAACAAUUAAGGAAUCACCAAAGCAAGGAUAUUUUGCUCGAGGGCAAAGUGAGGCCAACACUAGAGUUGUUAUUUGGAGAUAAGCAUAUCAGAGAUGUGAUGAUGCUAGGCAAUUCAUGAUAUUCAGGCGCCCUAGUCCUGGUGCUGGUACUUUGGAUUGCGUUUGAGUUGAUGGAGGAACAUCGACAACUUUUGUAAUAAUUAAGGGACGGGUCAUAACUGUUGCUUCAGUUGGUGAUUCUCGUGGUGUGCUUGAAUCGGCUAAAGGGAUUAUAUAUUAUCUAUCAACAUAAUUUGCAGUAGAAGAAGAUUAGAGUCUUGCACCUUAUAUGUUAUGGAUCUCCAUAGGUGAAAGAUCGAACUCGUGGAGGCAUUAUUUCAGCAACAUGUCAAGCGUCCUUCCAUCAAAGUAUGGAAGCAAAAGUUGUUUUAUUUCCUACAAGGACACUAUGAACCUGUUUUUGCGAGGUGGACCACAGAAAGGCGUGCAGUAUGUCGAUGGGUUGAAGAUUGGGACUUCAAAAAAAUUAUUAUUUGUUAGAAUCAAGUAUGUUUUGCUUGUUUUGGCCUUUUUUAUGGGGCAUUCAACUCCAUUGUAAUAACUGUACGUUGAAAAUUUAUGCGUAAGUGUUUGGUUAGUGAGAUUCA